UCGUUAGUCACAAGGAGAAACUGAGGCCCAGGGCUACAUAGAGGGUCAGUGACAGCACUAGAACAUAACAUACACCAGACCUCUCCAAUCCCAGUCUGAAGCCAGUCCACUGAACCGAGGGGCGAUGAUGUCACCAACGCCUUUCCCUUCUGCUUAAUAAGCUCUACACCCAAAGCGGGGCUUGAACUCAUCGCUCUGGGAUCAAAAGUGGUAUGCUAUACUGCGCCAGCGAGGGGCCUGCAAAAUUUUCCCUUUAUCCAGUAGAUGAAUCUGCUCUGGAGCAAGAUAUAAUCAGUUUAUUAUAAAAGAGACAUGGAAAUUAUUUAUAUGAUGAAAGAUUCCAGAACUUCAGUGGAAUGGGCAGCUUCAUCUGAAAAUCAUUUCAAUAAUGACUUAUUUCAGUCUACGUACUUUCCGAGAAUGUCACCAUCUUUAAAUAAGAAGUAAUCCUUAUCAUCUA
This is a long non-coding RNA of Herpailurus yagouaroundi (jaguarundi), 460 nucleotides long. RefSeq lists it as uncharacterized. Lineage: Eukaryota; Metazoa; Chordata; Mammalia; Carnivora; Felidae. The transcript is spliced from 3 exons. The record is from RefSeq and is a predicted model, not a curated record.